RNAcentral lists this ribosomal RNA (253 nucleotides) under uncultured bacterium. RNAcentral's name for it is "partial 16S ribosomal RNA". It matches the Rfam family "Bacterial small subunit ribosomal RNA", at positions 524 to 776 of the family's 1533-position model. The record is from RNAcentral.
UACAGAGGUCUCAAGCGUUGUUCGGAUUCAUUGGGCGUAAAGGGCGCGUAGGCUGCGGGGCAAGUCGGGUGUGAAAUCUCAGAGCUCAACUCUGAAACUGCACUCGAUACUGCUUUGCUCGAGGACUGGAGAGGAGACUGGAAUUUACGGUGUAGCGGUGAAAUGCGUAGAUAUCGUAAGGAAGACCAGUGGCGAAGGCGGGUCUCUGGACAGUUCCUGACGCUGAGGCACGAAGGCCAGGGGAGCAAACGGG